Molecule: long non-coding RNA, 1283 nt
Organism: Neopelma chrysocephalum (saffron-crested tyrant-manakin)
Lineage: Eukaryota; Metazoa; Chordata; Aves; Passeriformes; Pipridae
Exons: 3
Source: RefSeq, a predicted model, not a curated record
UCUUGCCGGGCCCAGCCCUGUCCCUCUGUGCUCCUCUCCUGCUGCUCCACAGGGAUCUCCAGGGCUGCCCCGGGUGCUUCUCUUCCAGGUUCUGUUGAUGCUUCCAGCAUGGUUCUUGUGCCAGUCUCUCCUGAGGAGCUGAGAGCUGCAGAACAGUGAAGAUAAUGAUGCAAAGAGAGGGGGCAGCCACCCUCCAGCAGCCAGCUGGGUGCCAGCACCAAGGACCUUCCCCCGGGACCUUCCUCCAGGACCAGGGACAAGACCUUUCCUCAGAGCCUCCCCAGGACCUUCCUGACUGUCACUCUGCAGUUCUCCCAGGUGCUCCAGCCACACGGACCUUGAGCUACAUGUCUCCCACAGCAGUCUCUGCUUCUGAAUCUGCUUCAGAGCCGCGGGUGCCACCAACAUUAAACCUUCCAACACGAGAGCUGAACCCUGCAGGACACCAGGACUCUGCCAACAGACCUGUCCAGGACCCUGAGUUUCCCACCCCUUGCCAAACCCAGAGCCAAGAGUGCAGGAAGCACUGGAGAGCAGCCCCUCACAGACAGCCUGGGGAAUAAAGAACAAGUUCCUCAGAGGCUGGGAAUGAACGGUCGGUAAUUAAGGGCUCCAGCAAACGGAGAGUUUGCUGAGUGCAGCCCCGGGGAGGCCAGCAGGGAUGGGUUGGGGUGAGCAGGCCCUGUCCCUGCCACGUGCAUCCCACUGUGGCAGGAGUGCAGGAGCCUUUGGGGUGCCGACAGCGGGGGAAGAAAUGCACGGGACAGGGAGCCUGCCCCUGGCUCCUGCCUCUGCAAAGUGUGCCAUGAUGGAGUUCCAGGCUCAGCACAGCCUGUUCAGCUAAAACUGAGUGUCCUCACAGGGAUCUUCACUGGCUGCUUCCCGACCUGUCUGUAGCAGACAUGGAGAGCAGCUUUUUCCUUCCUUCUUUGCGGCAGCUCCUCGUCCGUGGCAGAGGGGACAGCAGCCAGUCCUGGGGACUUUGACAUGGGACAGAGAUGGACGGGAUCCCCCAUUGCAGGGGCUGUGGCAAGAGGAACAGGCCCAGUGCCCCGCUAAUGCUGCCGGCCCUGCAAACAGCACCACUGGAGCUCCGGGCAUAUUCCAGUUAAAACCCCCGAAAUGACAGCAGUGACUGUUGUGGAAUGCACCGAGGACUUGGCUCGGGAGAUGCUAAAUCCAAAUCCGGAGCCGUGCCCAAGCCAGGGAAGCGGCUCGAGCGCUGCACGGGCGUCGCUUUGAUUUAGGACGCGUUCAGUGAGCGGCCGGAGCGCCGGGACGGC